Molecule: ribosomal RNA, 301 nt
Filed under: uncultured bacterium
Lineage: Bacteria
Description: partial 16S ribosomal RNA
Rfam family: Bacterial small subunit ribosomal RNA
Source: RNAcentral
CAGCAGCCGCGGUAAUACGAAGGGGGCUAGCGUUGUUCGGAAUUACUGGGCGUAAAGCGCACGUAGGCGGAUUUUUAAGUCAGGGGUGAAAUCCCGAGGCUCAACCUCGGAACUGCCUUUGAUACUGGAGACCUUGAGUUCGGAAGAGGUUGGUGGAACAGCUAGUGUAGAGGUGAAAUUCGUAGAUAUUAGCUAGAACACCAGUGGCGAAGGCGGCCAACUGGUCCGAUACUGACGCUGAGGUGCGAAAGCGUGGGGAGCAAACAGGAUUAGAUACCCCCGUAGUCCCUGUCUCUUAUAC